This 460-nucleotide ribosomal RNA is filed under the name uncultured bacterium. RNAcentral's name for it is "partial 16S ribosomal RNA". It matches the Rfam family "Bacterial small subunit ribosomal RNA", at positions 338 to 795 of the family's 1533-position model. The record is from RNAcentral.
CCUACGGGCGGCAGCAGUGAGGAAUAUUGGUCAAUGGACGAGAGCCUGAACCAGCCAAGUAGCGUGAAGGAUGACUGCCCUAUGGGUUGUAAACUUCUUUUAUAUGGGAAUAAAACGUUCAACGCGUGGGCUUUUGUAUGUACCAUAUGAAUAAGGAUCGGCUAAGUCCGUGCCAUCAGCCGCGGGAAUACGGAGGGUCCGAGCGUUAUCCGGAUUUAUUGGGUUGAAAGGGAGCGUCGGUGGUUUGUUGAGUCAGUUGUGAAAGUUUUGGGCUUAACCGUAAAAUUGCAGUUGAUACUGGCAGUCUAGAGUACAGUAGAGGGGGGCAGAAUUCGAGGUGUAGCGGUGAAAUGCUUAGAUAUAACGAAGAACUCCGAAUGCGAAGGCAGUUCACUGGACUGAAACUGACGCUGAGGCACGAAAGUGUGGGUAGCAAACAGGAUUAGAUACCCUUGUAGUC